GUCUUCUUGAUUAAUAAUUGAAGUCUGGCCUGCCCACUGAUAUUUUAAUGNCCGCAGUAAUUUGACUGUGCAAAGGUAGCAUAAUCAUUAGUUUCUUAAUUGGAAGCUGGAAUGAAUGGUUGGAUAAAAAAUUAACUUUCUUUUUUUCGUUUUAUUAGAAAUUUACUUUUAAGUAAAAAGGCUUAAAUUUUUUUUAGGGACGAGAAGACCCUAUAGAAUUUUAUUUAUAUUAAUUUAAUUUUUUAUUUAGAAUUUAUUUACUUAUUUAAUAUAAGUUUGAUUGGGGUGAUCAGAAAACUUUUUAAACUUUUCUAAUUUGUUACAAUUAUUUUUGUUUAUUUGAUCCUUUAUUAGAUUAUAAGAAUUAAUUACCUUAGGGAUAACAGCGUAAUUUUUUUUAGAGUUCUUAUCGAAGAAAAAGUUUGCGACCUCGAUGUUGGAUUAGAAUUUAUAUUUGGUGUAGGGGCUUAAAUUAUUAGGUCUGUUCGCC
RNAcentral lists this ribosomal RNA (490 nucleotides) under Arescus labiatus. RNAcentral describes it as "partial 16S ribosomal RNA". Lineage: Eukaryota; Metazoa; Arthropoda; Insecta; Coleoptera; Chrysomelidae. The record is from RNAcentral.